Salmo salar (Atlantic salmon) is the source of this 94-nucleotide non-coding RNA. NCBI's taxonomy places the organism in Eukaryota, Metazoa, Chordata, Actinopteri, Salmoniformes, Salmonidae. The record is from Rfam.
CUCCCUGUGGCUCAGUUGGUAGAGCAUGGUGUUUGCAACGCCAGUAUGGUGUGUGCGCAACGCCAGGGUUGUGGGUUCGAUUCCCAUGGGGGGC